UACGGGGGGGGCUAGCGUUGUUCGGAAUUACUGGGCGUAAAGGGCGCGUAGGCGGCCUACUAAGUCGGACGUGAAAUCCCUCGGCUCAACCGGGGAGCCGCGUCCGAUACUGGUGGGCUCGAAUCCGGGAGAGGGAUGUGGAAUUCCAGGUGUAGCGGUGAAAUGCGUAGAUAUCUGGAGGAACACCGGUGGCGAAGGCGGCAUCCUGGACCGGUAUUGACGCUGAUGCGCGAAAGCCAGGGGAGCAAACGGG
Molecule: ribosomal RNA, 253 nt
Filed under: uncultured bacterium
Lineage: Bacteria
Description: partial 16S ribosomal RNA
Rfam family: Bacterial small subunit ribosomal RNA
Source: RNAcentral